GAAUGACAAAAAAUUAAUCUUUAUGUUUGGCGAAGAUAUGAAAAUGAUAUCUAAAUAUCCAUGUUUGGAAAGGAAAGUAUAAAAGAGUGAUGAUGGAUAAUGUUUUUUAUACUAGUUUUGAGAGGAAGACACAAGGAUUUCAGUUGUUCAUCUUAUAUCCCAUUAUACUUUCUUUUCUAUCCUCAUUAAACAUGUGAAGCAUAAGUGAAACUGAUGAAUGCUUCAUUAGCAAUUUAAGCAUGGGCCGUUCAAUUUUGGCUGUUCUUCUGUUCACCAAAGGCUAGUUCAAUGUGAGGGGCGUGAUACUGUUUUCUCCAGAAAAAUACUGUUGGCUUACUUCAAAUUGCUUAGAUUAUUCAUGAAGAAAUGGUAGAAGAUUAGAGUCCGUCCCUAUCAUUGGAUAAGCUGGUAGAACAUAAUAACAUAAAAGAACAUUGGAACAGUUGUAAUUUAUUUUACAAAGAAUUUACUUGGCCAUAUUCUAUCUUGAUGUAAUUGCAACGAGAAUGAUAUUGGCUGUUUUAUUUUCGGAAGUCUCCGGGCAUGACUUUGGCUGUGUUUCUUGCCUUAAUUGUUGCUUUCAACUUUCGAGUGCCAAAACUGGGGAAAUUUGUAAUUAAAUUUUUUAAGGUGGAAAAGAUUGUGGCACACCAACUUGUAAGCUUUUAGUAGGAAUCUGUAAUUCUUCCUUAGAGAUGGUUCAUUGGAGCUGAAGGUCUAUUGUAUUGUAGUUGAAGGUGUAGCACUUUGACUAAAUUCUUUGAGAUGGAAAAUUAUUUUAGCUCGAACUCUCAAUUUUAAAUCUAUAUUUGGGCACCUUGUUCAAGAUUUUUCUUCCCUUCCUCGUAUAUCUCCAUAAUAUUGCCCAUAGAAGUUUUAAUAGUUUGCUUUGGUUGACAGGAUUUUUGUUUUCUUCUUUUCCUCCUACAUUGGUAAUGAAAAUGUAAGGCCUCCUUAUGAUGCAGAUUAAGAUGCCUCUUUUACAUAGUUGGGGGAAAAAGAAGAAGAAUUACCUGAAUCCUCAUAUUUGCAAAUCUUGUGGCUGUAAAAACAUGGCUUAUAUUGUAAGAAUUAUCUCAAAAUAUAUGAUAGAAGUCUUUUAUCUCACUUAAAAUAAAAAAUUGUGGGAAAUAUGAUUUGGUUUUAAUUAAUUUAAUUGUCUCCUGUAAGUCUGGUUGAAUCGGUAAUUUCUUGACAGGGUUGAUAUCUG
RNAcentral lists this unclassified non-coding RNA (1210 nucleotides) under Hevea brasiliensis (rubber tree). Lineage: Eukaryota; Viridiplantae; Streptophyta; Magnoliopsida; Malpighiales; Euphorbiaceae. The record is from RNAcentral.